Molecule: ribosomal RNA, 729 nt
Filed under: uncultured bacterium
Lineage: Bacteria
Description: bacterial SSU rRNA
Rfam family: Bacterial small subunit ribosomal RNA
Source: RNAcentral
AUGACGUUGGGAAAGCGAGCGGCGGAUGGGUGAGUAACACGUGGGGAACCUGCCCCUAAGUCUGGGAUACCAUUUGGAAACAGGUGCUAAUACCGGAUAAUAAAGCAGAUCGCAUGAUCAGCUUUUGAAAGGCGGCGUAAGCUGUCGCUAAGGGAUGGCCCCGCGGUGCAUUAGCUAGUUGGUAAGGUAACGGCUUACCAAGGCGACGAUGCAUAGCCGAGUUGAGAGACUGAUCGGCCACAUUGGGACUGAGACACGGCCCAAACUCCUACGGGAGGCAGCAGUAGGGAAUCUUCCACAAUGGACGCAAGUCUGAUGGAGCAACGCCGCGUGAGUGAAGAAGGUUUUCGGAUCGUAAAGCUCUGUUGUUGGUGAAGAAGGAUAGAGGUAGUAACUGGCCUUUAUUUGACGGUAAUCAACCAGAAAGUCACGGCUAACUACGUGCCAGCAGCCGCGGUAAUACGUAGGUGGCAAGCGUCGUCCGGAUUUAUUGGGCGUAAAGCGAGCGCAGGCGGAAAAAUAAGUCUAAUGUGAAAGCCCUCGGCUUAACCGAGGAACUGCAUCGGAAACUGUUUUUCUUGAGUGCAGAAGAGGAGAGUGGAACUCCAUGUGUAGCGGUGGAAUGCGUAGAUAUAUGGAAGAACACCAGUGGCGAAGGCGGCUCUCUGGUCUGCAACUGACGCUGAGGCUCGAAAGCAUGGGUAGCGAACAGGAUUAGAUACCCUGGUA